AUGGCGCCCGGGCACACGUGCCUCCACGUCCGGCGGCAUCAGCAGCAGCACGCCUCCUCCUUCUCCUGCUCCGCCCCCGCCGUCGCCGCCUUCGUCGGGCUCUGCCUGGUCGCCGUCUGGAUGGCCUCCUCGACCCUCGUCACCCUCGCCGAGUUCUCCCCGUUCCAGGCCCCAUUGUUGCGCCGCCCCGCCGCUCCGGUGGAGGGGACCGCGGGCGCCGACAAGCCCCCGGUCGGCGUCAGAGAGGAGAGCGCCGACGAGCAGGAGCCCCCUAUGACAGAGCGGCAGCAGGCGGAUCAUUCCACAGAGAAAGCAAAGGGGCUGAUGAACAACAGAGUGUCCCGGAGCUCAUGGGGAAGCCGGAUGAGGAUCCCGGCGAGAAGCCACAGGCAAAGAAGGACGAGGCCGAGGUGUUCCCGGACGCGAAGGACGCCGAGCUCCUCAACAGACGGCGAUGGGCCAGGCCCGUGGCGCACCCAGGCCGCAGAGUCCAACAAGGAGCGAACCACGGCGCCAGGUGUUCCAGCGAGCCACAGCUGGAAGCUCUGCGACGUUGAGGCCGGAGCCGAUUACAUCCUACCUCGACAAUGUGGAGGCUAUGAGAAAGCUCCAGGGCGACAAGCACUACGAGCACCUGGAGAGGCAUUGCCCUGA
Molecule: ribosomal RNA, 654 nt
Filed under: Triticum aestivum (bread wheat)
Lineage: Eukaryota; Viridiplantae; Streptophyta; Magnoliopsida; Poales; Poaceae
Description: partial small subunit ribosomal RNA
Source: RNAcentral